UAUUUAUUAGAUAACAGACCAAUAUUCCUCGUGUCUAUUGUGGUGACUCAUAGUAACUGAUCGGAUCGCAUGGCCUUGUGCCGCGACUAACCAUUCAAGUUUCCGACCCAUCAGCUUUCGAUGGUAGUGUAUUGGACUACCAUGGCUUUCACGGGUAACGGAGGAUUAGGGUUCGAUUCCGGAGAGGGAGCCUGAGAAACGGCUACCACAUCUAAGGAAGGCAGCAGGCGCGUAAAUUACCCAAUCCUGACUCAGGGAGGUAGUGACAAGAAAUAACGGGUCGGGGCAUUCGCCUCGGGAUUGCAAUGAAUCGAAUUUACACCCCUUAAUGAGGAUCAAUUGGAGGGCAAGUCUGGUGCCAGCAGCCGCGGUAAUUCCAGCUCCAAUAGCGUAUAUUAAAGUUGUUGCAGUUAAAAAGCUCGUAGUUUGAUUUCUGGACGGGCGCCAACACCCGCUUGUUUGGUGUGGAUGCAGCGCCCGCCCAUCCUUCUGUUUAUUAACCCCGCAUUCAUUUGCUGGCUGCGGGCUGAGAUAGAUAUUCUAGCUAGAGAAAAUUAGAGUGUUGCAGGCAUGCUU
This 576-nucleotide ribosomal RNA is filed under the name uncultured eukaryote. RNAcentral describes it as "SSU rRNA". It matches the Rfam family "Eukaryotic small subunit ribosomal RNA", at positions 203 to 787 of the family's 1831-position model. The record is from RNAcentral.